This 1011-nucleotide ribosomal RNA is filed under the name Triticum aestivum (bread wheat). RNAcentral describes it as "partial small subunit ribosomal RNA". Lineage: Eukaryota; Viridiplantae; Streptophyta; Magnoliopsida; Poales; Poaceae. The record is from RNAcentral.
AUGUGGGCCCAAAUCCUUCGCAGCAAGUACCUACAGACACAGUCCUUGUCUCAGGUCACAGUCAGGCCAACUGACUCGCCGUUCUGGAAAGGCCUGAUGAAAGUCAAACAAUCUAUGUUUAAUAGGACAAAGGUUGUUAUUGGCAACGGCGCUAGUACACGCUUCUGGGAGGAUACUUGGCUCGGUGAGACACCCUUGGCCAUUCAAUAUCCGUCUUUAUAUCGUAUUGUUCAACGACGUGAGGUGUUCGUUGCUACGGUGUUUCAAUCCAUCCCCCUUAAUAUUCAGUUCAGACGGUCGUUAGUGGGCAAUCGUUGGGAAGAUUGGCUCCGUCUAGUUCGGAGACUAAUGGAUGUCCAUCUUUCUCAACAACCCGAUGAAUUGCGCUGGAAACUGACUAGGUCUGGAGUUUUCACGGUUAAAUCAAUGUAUAUUGAUGUAAUUAAUUCGAGCUCCAUUCCUACCUCCAAGCAUGUUUGGGCGGUCAAAGUUCCUUUGAAAAUAAAAGUGUUUAUGUGGUUUGUCCAUAAACAGGUUAUUUUAACCAAGGAUAACUUGAUUAAGCGUAAUUGGACAGGACCUACGAGGUGUAGCUUCUGCGAUCGGGACGAGACGAUCAAGCAUCUCUUUUUUGAUUGCCCGCUUGCCAGAGUACUUUGGCGGACGGUUCACAUUGCUUUUAAUAUUACUCCACCGAAUUCUGUCACUACGUUAUUUGGGGCAUGGCUCACUGGGAUUGAGCCUGAAUUAGCGAGACAUAUUCGUGUUGGAGUUUGCGCUUUGUUGUGGACUAUCUGGACUUGCAGAAAUGAUUUGGUUUUUAACAGAACAUCACGUAUUCAUUUUUUGCAGGUUAUUUUCCGAGCCACGGCCAUGAUCCGUUCAUGGUCGCUACUCACUCCGAUGGUGGCCAGGGAGCAUUUGGUUACUGGAUCUAUCCGCUGGGAGAUGGUAGCUCGGGAUAUCUUCAACCGGUUUGGAUGGCGGUCAUGUAAUAGGAUAGGCAAUUAG